AGAGUUUGAUCCUGGCGCAGGAUGAACGCUAGCGGGAGGCUUAACACAUGCAAGUCGAGGGGCAGCACGGGACUUCGGUUCUGGUGGCGACCGGCGCACGGGUGCCGUAACGCGUAUGCAACCUACCUUAUACAAAGGGAUAGCCCAUGGAAACGUGGAUUAAUACCUUAUAGUACUAUAAAGCUACAUAGUUUAAUAGUUAAAACUUCGGUGGUAUAAGAUGGGCAUGCGUAUGAUUAGGUAGUUGGUAGGGUAAAGGCCUACCAAGCCGACGAUCAUUAGGGGUUCUGAGAGGAUUAUCCCCCACACUGGUACUGAGACACGGACCAGACUCCUACGGGAGGCAGCAGUGAGGAAUAUUGGUCAAUGGACGAGAGUCUGAACCAGCUAUCCCGCGUGCAGGAUGACGGCCCUAUGGGUUGUAAACUGCUUUUGUAAGGGAAUAAAAAAGAGUACGUGUACUCUAUUGUAUGUACUUUACGAAUAAGGAUCGGCUAACUCCGUGCCAGCAGCCGCGGUAAUACGGAGGAUCCAAGCGUUAUCCGGAUUUAUUGGGUUUAAAGGGUGCGUAGGCGGACCUUUAAGUCAGUGGUGAAAGUUUGCAGCUCAACUGUAAAAUUGCCAUUGAAACUGAAGGUCUUGAGUGUAAAUGAGGUAGGCGGAAUGUGUUGUGUAGCGGUGAAAUGCUUAGAUAUAACACAGAACACCAAUUGCGAAGGCAGCUUACUGGGAUACAACUGACGCUGAGGCACGAAAGCGUGGGGAUCAAACAGGAUUAGAUACCCUGGUAGUCCACGCAGUAAACGAUGAAUACUAGCUGUAUGCGAUAUAGUGUAUGUGGCAAAGCGAAAGCGUUAAGUAUUCCACCUGGGGAGUACGUUCGCAAGAAUGAAACUCAAAGGAAUUGACGGGGGCCCGCACAAGCGGAGGAACAUGUGGUUUAAUUCGAUGAUACGCGAGGAACCUUACCUGGGCUUAAAUGUAGAGUGCAUGACCGGGAAACUUGUCCGCCAGCAAUGGUCUCUGUGUAGGUGCUGCAUGGUUGUCGUCAGCUCGUGCCGUGAGGUGUCGGCUUAAGUGCCAUAACGAGCGCAACCCCCUACUGUUAGUUGCCAUCGGGUCAUGUCGGGGACUCUAACGGGACUGCCGGUGUAAACCGCGAGGAAGGUGGGGAUGACGUCAAAUCAGCACGGCCCUUACGUCCAGGGCUACACACGUGUUACAAUGGCCAGUACAAAGGGCAGCUACCAGGCGACUGGAUGCUAAUCUCCAAAAGCUGGUCUCAGUUCGGAUCGGAGUCUGCAACUCGACUCCGUGAAGUUGGAUUCGCUAUUAAUCGUAUAUCAGCAAUGAUACGGUGAAUACGUUCCCGGGCCUUGUACACACCGCCCGUCAAGCCAUGGAAGCCGAGGGUGCCUGAAGUACGUUACCGCAAGGAGCGUCCUAGGGUAAAAUUGGUAACUAGGGCUAAGUCGUAACAAGGUAGCGGGCG
RNAcentral lists this ribosomal RNA (1492 nucleotides) under uncultured prokaryote. RNAcentral's name for it is "partial 16S ribosomal RNA". It matches the Rfam family "Bacterial small subunit ribosomal RNA". The record is from RNAcentral.